CACCCGUUCCCAUACCGAACACGGAAG
Molecule: ribosomal RNA, 27 nt
Filed under: Bacillus thuringiensis
Lineage: Bacteria; Bacillati; Bacillota; Bacilli; Caryophanales; Bacillaceae
Also listed under: 1 other name
Source: RNAcentral